GUCGUCUAAUAGUUAAGACUAUUGCGUUUUAAGCAAUAUAUACUGGUUCGAUCCCAGUCUU
This 61-nucleotide transfer RNA is filed under the name Debaryomyces hansenii. It matches the Rfam family "tRNA", at positions 7 to 66 of the family's 71-position model. From Rfam's summary of the family: Transfer RNA (tRNA) molecules are approximately 80 nucleotides in length. Their secondary structure includes four short double-helical elements and three loops (D, anti-codon, and T loops). The record is from RNAcentral. Lineage: Eukaryota; Fungi; Ascomycota; Pichiomycetes; Serinales; Debaryomycetaceae.